ACUCCUACGGGAGGCAGCAGUAGGGAAUCUUCCACAAUGGGCGACAAGCCUGAUGGAGCAACACCGCGUGAGUGAAGAAGGGUUUCGGCUCGUAAAGCUCUGUUGUUAAAGAAGAACACGUAUGAGAGUAACUGUUCAUACGUUGACGGUAUUUAACCAGAAAGUCACGGCUAACUACGUGCCAGCAGCCGCGGUAAUACGUAGGUGGCAAGCGUUAUCCGGAUUUAUUGGGCGUAAAGAGAGUGCAGGCGGUUUUCUAAGUCUGAUGUGAAAGCCUUCGGCUUAACCGGAGAAGUGCAUCGGAAACUGGAUAACUUGAGUGCAGAAGAGGGUAGUGGAACUCCAUGUGUAGCGGUGGAAUGCGUAGAUAUAUGGAAGAACACCAGUGGCGAAGGCGGCUACCUGGUCUGCAACUGACGCUGAGACUCGAAAGCAUGGGGUAGCGAACAGGAUUAGAUA
This 459-nucleotide ribosomal RNA is filed under the name uncultured bacterium. RNAcentral describes it as "bacterial SSU rRNA". It matches the Rfam family "Bacterial small subunit ribosomal RNA", at positions 335 to 784 of the family's 1533-position model. The record is from RNAcentral.